RNAcentral lists this long non-coding RNA (1432 nucleotides) under Bemisia tabaci. RNAcentral's name for it is "lncRNA ENSASIAIIG000107". Lineage: Eukaryota; Metazoa; Arthropoda; Insecta; Hemiptera; Aleyrodidae. The record is from RNAcentral.
CUCAUCGUGUUUUUAGUCUGUUUCGCGCCCUCGUCGCUGUCAUCGCUGUCGCGUCCGUCUCUUGAAAUUCUAACUAUAUUUGCUUUUUUAAAAACCUAGGAAGAAAAAAAAAUUCAAACCACAUCCAUUCAAUUUAUUUCAAAUCUUAUCACUUCCCGUACAACGUAAAAUUAUCACUUUAAAAUGAUCGCUUUUGAUUAAUUGAGUCCUGGAAGUUAAAGCAGCGUGAGCUCUCCGUAAACAAGAUUCGUAAAUUUAGAAGUAAAGCUAAAAAAUAAAGUUAUUUAAGUAUUGUUUAUAUUUAUAUCUAGAAAUAAGCAACUCACUUAUCCUGUUCCUUGCAUUUCAGAAUGUGCUUCGAAAAUGUGUGAAAGUUCGUGAAAGUUUUUGAAUUUCCCCUCCGUACGCUUCCUCCAGGGAUAAGUGAUUAAAUCUCAAGGUGGCCGAGAAAUUAAGAAUGAUUAAUGGUCACAUGCAUAACUGUAUGCAUUCAUCUAUUCGUAACAUGCGCAUGUUCAGCUUACAGGGACUUUUAAACAUUUUUUUUCCAAAAUAAAAUUGUUCUCACUUUGUGUCUCCUCUUCAGGUUUUCAGAUCAUAUAUGUAUACUGUGAGCAGAUCAUAGAACAAUCACCUGAAUAAUUCAGUUAGGUAUUUACAGAAUAAACUGAAUAUAUAAAUAGGUAUAAAAUUCCUAGAGUUUUCCAAUCGGUGAUGAAUUGCAUUGAACGUGACUAAAACGAAAUUUGUUUGAAGACUAAUCCGUGACGACAUAAACAUGGCCUUUUUUUUUUAUUUCUUUUUUAUACUUACCCCAUGUGUCCACGUUUAAUAUUAUGAGCGGUAAAAAGUGAACGCACGAGUAUGUUGUGAAUGAUAACUUAAAAGCUCUAAACGUAAAAUUUACGUUCUUCCGUGAGACAGCUUCUCUGUGAAACAAUUUAAAUUUUGGAUAUAUCUCGCAGCUCUGCAAAAAUGAGGUCGUCCAAUCAUACGAAGUUCAUAGCCAGUUUUUCCCCAGCCAUCUUCUUGGCGUCUCGGACCUCAUUUUCCUGCACCCCAUUUUCAGUCUUUUGACGCAUACUCCUCGAACACAAUCUUCUCCAGGCCACAUGGAUUUAACGUACUUACUCACAGGUACUUUUUAGUCUCUUAGAUACACAUUUUAAGAACUUUGGGGCCCUGAGGAGACAAAAGAGGAUUCAAAAAUGAGGAAAUAUACGGAUAAAUAAUAGUAAUACUUCGGGAAAAACUUUGCCACGGGGCCCCUUAUUUAAGGCCCUACAGCAGAUUCUUAGGAGGCAAUCACCUCAUAGCCUCCCCAACCAGUCUUCCACUGACUAGCAGUAAAGUUAAUGAAACGCCUGAUAUGUUUAUGACGUUUUAUUUUGUAAUUAAGUGAAACAUGUUAACCUAAAUAUGACGUAUCAGU